RNAcentral lists this ribosomal RNA (266 nucleotides) under uncultured archaeon. RNAcentral's name for it is "partial 16S ribosomal RNA". It matches the Rfam family "Archaeal small subunit ribosomal RNA", at positions 716 to 982 of the family's 1478-position model. The record is from RNAcentral.
AGUCACUGACAUUAGAUACCCGCGUAGUCCAGGGUGUAAACGCUGCAGACUUGGUGUUGGAGGCCCUUUGGGGGCAUUCAGUGCCGGAGAGAAGUUGUUAAGUCUGCUACUUGGGGAGUACGUCCGCAAGGAUGAAACUUAAAGGAAUUGGCGGGGGAGCACCGCAACGGGAGGAGCGUGCGGUUUAAUUGGAUUCAACACCGUAAAACUCACCAGGGAAGACUGUUACAUGAAGGCCGAGAUGAAGACUCUGCCAGAUUUUUCAG